Molecule: ribosomal RNA, 441 nt
Filed under: uncultured bacterium
Lineage: Bacteria
Description: partial 16S ribosomal RNA
Rfam family: Bacterial small subunit ribosomal RNA
Source: RNAcentral
CCUACGGGUGGCAGCAGUGGGGAAUAUUGCACAAUGGGGGGAACCCUGAUGCAGCGACGCCGCGUGGGUGAAGGAGUAUUUCGGUAUGUAAAGCCCUAUCAGCAGGGAAGAACAAUGACGGUACCUGACUAAGAAGCACCGGCUAAAUACGUGCCAGCAGCCGCGGUAAUACGUAUGGUGCAAGCGUUAUCCGGAUUUACUGGGUGUAAAGGGAGCGCAGGCGGCGCGUUAAGCCUGGUGUGAAAGUCCGCGGCCCAACCGCGGGACUGCAUUUGGAACUGGAGCGCUGGAGUGCCGGAGGGGCAGGCGGAAUUCCUGGUGUAGCGGUGAAAUGCAUAGAUAUCACGCAGAACCCCGAUUGCGAAGGCAGCAUGCCGGUGCACAACUGACGCUGAGGCACGAAAGCGUGGGUAUCGAACAGGAUUAGAUACCCCAGUAGUC